RNAcentral lists this ribosomal RNA (503 nucleotides) under Leohumicola sp. E3-8. RNAcentral describes it as "eukaryotic LSU rRNA". The stretch from base 279 to 503 matches the Rfam family "Eukaryotic large subunit ribosomal RNA", at positions 1 to 225 of the family's 3401-position model. Lineage: Eukaryota; Fungi; Ascomycota; Leotiomycetes. The record is from RNAcentral.
GGCAUCGAUGAAGAACGCAGCGAAAUGCGAUAAGUCAUGUGAAUUGCAGAAUUCAGUGAAUCAUCGAAUCUUUGAACGCACAUUGCGCCCCUUGGUAUUCCGAGGGGCAUGCCCGUUCGAGCGUCAUUAUAACCCCUCAAGCCUAGCUUGGUGUUGGGGCCUGCUGUUACCGGCAGCCCUUAAAAUCAGUGGCGGUGCCAUCUGGCUCUAAGCGUAGUAAUACUUCUCGCUACAGGGUCCUGGUGGAUGCUUGCCAUCAACCCCUAAAUUUCAAUGGUUGACCUCGGAUCGGGUAGGGAUACCCGCUGAACUUAAGCAUAUCAAUAAGCGGAGGAAAAGAAACCAACAGGGAUUGCCUUAGUAACGGCGAGUGAAGCGGCAACAGCUCAAAUUUGAAAUCUGGCUCUUUCAGGGUCCGAGUUGUAAUUUGUAGAAGAUGCUUCGAGUGUGGUACCGGUCUAAGUUCCUUGGAACAGGACGUCAUAGAGGGUGAGAAUCCCGUA